This 23-nucleotide microRNA is filed under the name Caenorhabditis elegans. RNAcentral describes it as "Cel-Mir-254_3p (mature (guide))". The record is from RNAcentral. Lineage: Eukaryota; Metazoa; Nematoda; Chromadorea; Rhabditida; Rhabditidae.
UGCAAAUCUUUCGCGACUGUAGG